GACGAACGCUGGCGGCGUGCUUAACACAUGCAAGUCGAACGGAAAGGCCCUGCUUUUGUGGGGUGCUCGAGUGGCGAACGGGUGAGUAACACGUGAGUAACCUGCCCUUGACUUUGGGAUAACUUCAGGAAACUGGGGCUAAUACCGGAUAGGAGCUCCUGCUGCAUGGUGGGGGUUGGAGAGUUUCGGCGGUUGGGGAUGGACUCGCGGCUUAUCAGCUUGUUGGUGGGGUAGUGGCUUACCAAGGCUUUGACGGGUAGCCGGCCUGAGAGGGUGACCGGCCACAUUGGGACUGAGAUACGGCCCAGACUCCUACGGGAGGCAGCAGUGGGGAAUAUUGCACAAUGGGCGGAAGCCUGAUGCAGCAAAGCCGCGUGCGGGAUGACGGCCUUCGGGUUGUAAACCGCUUUCGCCUGCGACGAAGCGUGAGUGACGGUAAUGGGUAAAGAAGCACCGGCUAACUACGUG
Molecule: ribosomal RNA, 468 nt
Filed under: uncultured bacterium
Lineage: Bacteria
Description: partial 16S ribosomal RNA
Rfam family: Bacterial small subunit ribosomal RNA
Source: RNAcentral